This 243-nucleotide long non-coding RNA is filed under the name Lathyrus oleraceus (garden pea). RNAcentral describes it as "Pisum sativum (pea) long non-coding RNA (PSAT_LNC013724)". The record is from RNAcentral. Lineage: Eukaryota; Viridiplantae; Streptophyta; Magnoliopsida; Fabales; Fabaceae.
AGGUAGGGAAAAUUUUGGGGUAUGACAGCUGCCUCUAUUUAAUUAUGUUGGACCUGAAUGUAUGAAUAGAAACAACUUUCAAGCAUUCGAGGUAGGAGUGGAUUAAAUACAAAGAUCCAAAAAUUCGCACUCCGAAGAGAAGAGAUAGGUAUAAGUGUUUAUGAUGUUUUUUUUUGUUUUACCUCAACUAAUGAGCUUUGGCAGAUAUUAGUAGUUGAGAUAUUCCCACAAGGUUCCACAAAG